CCUACGGGAGGCAGCAGUGAGGAAUAUUGGUCAAUGGGCGCGAGCCUGAACCAGCCAAGUAGCGUGAAGGAUGACUGCCCUACGGGUUGUAAACUUCUUUUAUAAAGGAAUAAAGUGAGGCACGUGUGCCUUUUUGUAUGUACUUUAGGAACAAGGAUCGGCUAACUACGUGCCAGCAGCCGCGGGAAUACGGAGGAUCCGAGCGUUAUCCGGUUUUAUUGGGUUUAAAGGGAGCGUAGAUGGGUGGUUAAGUCAGUUGUGAACGUUUGCGGCUCAACCGUAAAAUUGCAAUUGAUACUGGCCGUCUUGAGUACAGUUGAGGUAGGCGGAAUUCGUGGUGUAGCGGUGAAAUGCUUAGAUAUCACGAAGAACUCCGAUUGCGAAGGCAGCUUACUAAACUGCCACUGACAUUGAUGCUCGAAAGUGUGGGUAUCAAACAGGAUUAGAUACCCGAGUAGUC
This 460-nucleotide ribosomal RNA is filed under the name uncultured bacterium. Its description in RNAcentral is "partial 16S ribosomal RNA". It matches the Rfam family "Bacterial small subunit ribosomal RNA", at positions 338 to 795 of the family's 1533-position model. The record is from RNAcentral.